UACGUAGGGUGCAAGCGUUACUCGGAAUUACUGGGCGUAAAGCGUGCGCAGGCGGCUUUGCAAGACAGAUGUGAAAUCCCCGGGCUUAACCUGGGAACUGCAUUUGUGACUGCAUGGCUGGAGUGCGGCAGAGGGGGAUGGAAUUCCGCGUGUAGCAGUGAAAUGCGUAGAUAUGCGGAGGAACACCGGUGGCGAAGGCGGCCAUCUGGACGGAUACUGACGCUGAGACGCGAAAGCGUGGGGAGCAAACAGG
RNAcentral lists this ribosomal RNA (253 nucleotides) under uncultured bacterium. RNAcentral describes it as "partial 16S ribosomal RNA". It matches the Rfam family "Bacterial small subunit ribosomal RNA", at positions 524 to 776 of the family's 1533-position model. The record is from RNAcentral.